This 441-nucleotide ribosomal RNA is filed under the name uncultured Anaerolinea sp. Its description in RNAcentral is "bacterial SSU rRNA". It matches the Rfam family "Bacterial small subunit ribosomal RNA", at positions 338 to 795 of the family's 1533-position model. The record is from RNAcentral. Lineage: Bacteria; Bacillati; Chloroflexota; Anaerolineae; Anaerolineales; Anaerolineaceae.
CCUACGGGUGGCUGCAGUGGGGAAUAUUGGUUAAUGGGCGAAAGCCUGACCCAGCAACGCCGCGUGAACGAUGAAGGCCUUCGGGUCGUAAAGUUCUUUUUACAGGGAUGAGGAAGGACAGUACCUGUAGAAUAAGUCUCGGCUAACUACGUGCCAGCAGCCGCGGUAACACGUAGGAGACGAGCGUUAUCCGGAUUUACUGGGUGUAAAGCGCGUGCAGGCGGUAUGGUAAGUUGGAUGUGAAAGCUCCUGGCUUAACUGGGAGAGGUCGUACAAGACUGCCAAACUAGAGGACAGCAGAGGGGAGUGGAAUUCCGAGUGUAGCGGUAAAAUGCAUAGAUAUUCGGAAGAACACCAGUGGCGAAGGCGGCUCUCUGGGCUGUACCUGACGCUCAGACGCGAAAGCUAGGGUAGCAAACGGGAUUAGAUACCCUGGUAGUC